RNAcentral lists this long non-coding RNA (961 nucleotides) under Panax ginseng (ginseng). Its description in RNAcentral is "long non-coding RNA (PGIN_LNC003412)". Lineage: Eukaryota; Viridiplantae; Streptophyta; Magnoliopsida; Apiales; Araliaceae. The record is from RNAcentral.
UCGAUGUUUCAAUUAGAGAGGAGAUGGGUUAGCUAGGUUUCUAGAAACUAGGGCUUGUUUUCCAUUAAUUGCACUAGUAAUCGUAAAAUUGUCGUCUUUAUUUUACUUUUCACUUGUUGUUGAUCCCUGCGCGAUUGAUCGAUCAGACGAAACUAAAGAUUCUGAAAUGGCAGGAGGGAAUUUCAUUGGCAGAGUCGUUUCUUACGUCGUUAACGAGCUUGUUGUUGAAACCCUUGCAAAUAGGUAUGUAUAUACUCAUAUAUUCUCUCCAUAUUUCUAUUUUUGUAUGUUAUUUUAUUCUUUAAGACGAUUAUCUAUUUUCGUUUGCUGUAAAUUUUGUUCGGUGAUCAUAGCUUUUCUGGCCGUUGGGACUAAAUGAUUCUGGAUGAGCUUGUUCCCUUCCAGCUAUGGAAGUUUGAGAAAUAGCUGGUUUUUUAUUUUUUUUAUAAUAAAUAUUUUGUACUUCUGAUUGAUGCGGUCAUUCUUAUACUGUAUCCAUAUUUCUAUGGGUCUAAAGUAAUCUGUGUAACAGAAUGAAAGGGGCUAACGGUUGUAGAGAUUGUUAUCUUACAGCAUCUAUGUGUGGACAUUUGUAACAUCUGAACUCUACAUGUAUAUUUAUCUUUUGCCUGUAAUGCCUAGAUGCUUGUACUAAGAAACCUAGAACACAUAAUAUUUAGGGAUUGAACCUGUUUACCUCAUUUUAUGCUUUUACUAGGCUGGAUUGAAUUAACUAAUGAUUUCAUGAUCUCAUUUAUUCAUGUAAUGACUUUAAUUGGUUGAAACAUGGCUGUAAUUUCUCUUGGUGGACUGACCCCGAUGGUGCUCAAUUGUGAUUUUGACAUUAGUCUUGUUUUGCUUUUUCCUGUUAUUCUCGUGAUAUUGUGUGUCCUUCCCUUUUUGUUCUAUACGUCGUCUAGGAAUUGUCGAGCAAAUGAAGGAUAUAUCAAAGAACUUUGAG